Molecule: unclassified non-coding RNA, 387 nt
Filed under: uncultured Ascomycota
Lineage: Eukaryota; Fungi; Ascomycota
Description: sequence contains ITS2
Rfam family: 5.8S ribosomal RNA (bases 1-154)
Source: RNAcentral
AACUUUUGGCAAUGGAUCUCUUGGCUCCGGCGUCGAUGAAGAACGCGGCGAAAUGCGAUACGUGAUGUGAAUUGCAGAAUUCAGCGAAUCAUCGAGCCUUUGAACGCACAUUGCGCCCCUCGGUAUUCCGGAGGGCACGCCUGUUCGAGCGUCAUUUUACACCUCGGGCCCGGCCCUGUUCUGGGUGCAGCCGCACGUCCCAUUUGGCGGGCGCUCCUGUAACGCUUCGGCGACGCGGUCCGGACCCUUAGACGCGGCAAGUCCAAUCGUCUCGCGGGCUCCGGGCGCGUCUGCCGCCUAAAGGCGCCUGCACGCCGUCUCGCAAGCCUUGACCUCGGAUCAGGCGGGGAUACCCGCUGAACUUAAGCAUAUCAAUAAGCGGAGGCU